AUUGAACGCUGGCGGCAUGCCUUACACAUGCAAGUCGAACGGUGACAGGUCUUCGGAUGCUGACGAGUGGCGAACGGGUGAGUAAUACAUCGGAACGUGCCUAGUAGUGGGGGAUAACUACUCGAAAGAGUGGCUAAUACCGCAUGAGAUCUACGGAUGAAAGCAGGGGAUCGCAAGACCUUGUGCUACUAGAGCGGCCGAUGGCAGAUUAGGUAGUUGGUGGGAUAAAAGCUUACCAAGCCGACGAUCUGUAGCUGGUCUGUGAGGACGAUCAGCCACACUGGGACUGAGACACGGCCCAGACUCCUACGGGAGGCAGCAGUGGGGAAUUUUGGACAAUGGGCGAAAGCCUGAUCCAGCAAUGCCGCGUGCAGGAUGAAGGCCUUCGGGUUGUAAACUGCUUUUGUACGGAACGAAAAGCCCCGGGUUAAUACCCUGGGGUCAUGACGGUACCGUAAGAAUAAGCACCGGCUAACUACGUGCCAGCAGCCGCCGUAA
This 498-nucleotide ribosomal RNA is filed under the name uncultured bacterium. RNAcentral's name for it is "partial 16S ribosomal RNA". It matches the Rfam family "Bacterial small subunit ribosomal RNA", at positions 30 to 523 of the family's 1533-position model. The record is from RNAcentral.